UUAAGCGAAUAAGCGUACACGGUGGAUGCCUAGGCAAUCAGAGGCGAUGAAGGACGUGCUAAUCUGCGAAAAGCGUCGGUAAGGUGAUAUGAACCGUUAUACCCGACGAUAUCCGAAUGGGGAAACCCAGUAUCCAAUGGAUACUAUCAUUAACUGAAUCCAUAGGUUAAUGAGGCGAACCGGGAGAACUGAAACAUCUCAGUACCCCGAGGAAAAGAAAUCAACCGAGAUUCCCCUAGUAGCGGCGAGCGAACGGGGAGCAGCCCAGAGUCUUAAUCAAUAACAGUGUCAGGAGAACGGUCUGGAAAGUCCGGCAGUAAAGGGUGAUAGCCCCGUAUCUGAAGAUGCUGUUAUUGUGAACUCGACGAGUAGGGCGGGACACGUGUUAUCCUGUCUGAAUAUGGGGGGACCAUCCUCCAAGGCUAAAUACUCCUGAUUGACCGAUAGUGAACCAGUACCGUGAGGGAAAGGCGAAAAGAACCCCGGCGAGGGGAGUGAAAAAGAACCUGAAACCGUGUACGUACAAGCAGUAGGAGCCUCUUUAUGGGGUGACUGCGUACCUUUUGUAUAAUGGGUCAGCGACUUAUAUUCUGUAGCGAGGUUAACCGCAUAGGGGAGCCGUAGGGAAACCGAGUCUUAACUGGGCGAAUGAGUUGCAGGGUAUAGACCCGAAACCCGGUGAUCUAUCCAUGGGCAGGUUGAAGGUUGGGUAACACUAACUGGAGGACCGAACCGACUAAUGUUGAAAAAUUAGCGGAUGACUUGUGGAUGGGGGUGAAAGGCCAAUCAAACCGGGAGAUAGCUGGUUCUCCCCGAAAGCUAUUUAGGUAGCGCCUCGUGAACUCAUCUUCGGGGGUAGAGCACUGUUUCGACUAGGGGGUCAUCCCGACUUACCAACUCGAUGCAAACUGCGAAUACCGAAGAAUGUUAUCACGGGAGACACACGGCGGGUGCUAACGUCCGUCGUGAAGAGGGAAACAACCCAGACCGCCAGCUAAGGUCCCAAAGUCAUGGUUAAGUGGGAAACGAAGUGGGAAGGCUCAGACAGCCAGGAUGUUGGCUUAGAAGCAGCCAUCAUUUAAAGAAAGCGUAAUAGCUCACUGGUCGAGUCGGCCCGCGCGGAAGAUGUAACGGGGCUAAACCAUGCACCGAAGCUGCGGCAGCGACACAAAGUGUUGUUGGGUAGGGGAGCGUUCUGUAAGCCUGCGAAGGUGUACUGUGAGGUAUGCUGGAGGUAUCAGAAGUGCGAAUGCUGACAUAAGUAACGAUAAUGCGGGUGAAAAACCCGCACGCCGGAAGACCAAGGGUUCCUGUCCAACGUUAAUCGGGGCAGGGUGAGUCGACCCCUAAGGCGAGGCUGAAAAGCGUAGUCGAUGGGAAACGGGUUAAUAUUCCCGUACUGGUGGUAACUGCGAUGGGGGAACGGAGAAGGCUAGGUUGUCCGGGCGACGGUCGUCCCGGUUCAAGCAGGUAGGCAGAGUGAUUAGGCAAAUCCGGUCACUUAAUGCUGAGAUGUGAUGACGAACCACCAAGGUGGUGAAGCAAUUGAUGCCCCGCUUCCAGGAAAAGCCUCUAAGCUUCAGGUUACCAACAAUCGUACCCCAAACCGACACAGGUGGUCAGGUAGAGAAUACUCAGGCGCUUGAGAGAACUCGGGUGAAGGAACUAGGCAAAAUGGUGCCGUAACUUCGGGAGAAGGCACGCUGGCGGUAGGUAAAGUCCCUCGCGGACAGAGCUGAAGCCAGUCGAAGAUACCAGCUGGCUGCAACUGUUUAUUAAAAACACAGCACUGUGCAAACACGAAAGUGGACGUAUACGGUGUGACGCCUGCCCGGUGCUGGAAGGUUAAUUGAUGGGGUUAGCGUAAGCGAAGCUCCUGAUCGAAGCCCCAGUAAACGGCGGCCGUAACUAUAACGGUCCUAAGGUAGCGAAAUUCCUUGUCGGGUAAGUUCCGACCUGCACGAAUGGCGUAAUGAUGGCCAGGCUGUCUCCACCCGAGACUCAGUGAAAUUGAACUCGCUGUGAAGAUGCAGUGUACCCGCGGCAAGACGGAAAGACCCCGUGAACCUUUACUAUAGCUUGACACUGAACAUUGAGCCUUGAUGUGUAGGAUAGGUGGGAGGCUUUGAAGUGUGGACGCCAGUCUGCAUGGAGCCAACCUUGAAAUACCACCCUUUAACGUUUGAUGUUCUAACCUAGGCCCAUAAACUGGGUCGGGGACCGUGUCUGGUGGGUAGUUUGACUGGGGCGGUCUCCUCCUAAAGAGUAACGGAGGAGCACGAAGGUUGGCUAAGCAUGGUCGGACAUCAUGCGGUUAGUGCAAAGGCAUAAGCCAGCUUGACUGCGAGAGUGACGGCUCGAGCAGGUACGAAAGUAGGUCUUAGUGAUCCGGUGGUUCUGAAUGGAAGGGCCAUCGCUCAACGGAUAAAAGGUACUCCGGGGAUAACAGGCUGAUACCGCCCAAGAGUUCAUAUCGACGGCGGUGUUUGGCACCUCGAUGUCGGCUCAUCACAUCCUGGGGCUGAAGUAGGUCCCAAGGGUAUGGCUGUUCGCCAUUUAAAGUGGUACGCGAGCUGGGUUUAGAACGUCGUGAGACAGUUCGGUCCCUAUCUGCCGUGGGCGUUGGAAGAUUGAGAGGGGUUGCUCCUAGUACGAGAGGACCGGAGUGAACGCACCACUGGUGUUCGGGUUGUCAUGCCAAUGGCAUUGCCCGGUAGCUAAGUGCGGAAGAGAUAACCGCUGAAAGCAUCUAAGCGGGAAACUUGCCUCGAGAUGAGUCUUCCCUGUCGCUUUAAGCGACCUAAAGGAACGUUUAAGACUAAGACGUUGAUAGGCUGGGUGUGUAAGCGUAGCGAUACGUUGAGCUAACCAGUACUAAUGAACCGUGAGGCUUAACC
This 2897-nucleotide ribosomal RNA is filed under the name Proteus mirabilis. RNAcentral describes it as "23S ribosomal RNA". It matches the Rfam family "Bacterial large subunit ribosomal RNA". Lineage: Bacteria; Pseudomonadati; Pseudomonadota; Gammaproteobacteria; Enterobacterales; Morganellaceae. The record is from RNAcentral.